RNAcentral lists this ribosomal RNA (301 nucleotides) under uncultured bacterium. Its description in RNAcentral is "partial 16S ribosomal RNA". It matches the Rfam family "Bacterial small subunit ribosomal RNA", at positions 509 to 807 of the family's 1533-position model. The record is from RNAcentral.
CAGUCGCCGCGGUAAUACGUAGGGUGCAAGCGUUAAUCGGAAUUACUGGGCGUAAAGCGUGCGCAGGCGGUUAUAUAAGUCAGAUGUGAAAUCCCCGGGCUCAACCUGGGAACUGCAUUUGAGACUGUAUGGCUAGAGUGUGUCAGAGGGGGGUAGAAUUCCACGUGUAGCAGUGAAAUGCGUAGAUAUGUGGAGGAAUACCGAUGGCGAAGGCAGCCCCCUGGGAUAACACUGACGCUCAUGCACGAAAGCGUGGGGAGCAAACAGGAUUAGAGACCCCAGUAGUCCCUGUCUCUUAUAC